AGAAGACCUUGUAUUCUGAAUCCAUGAGGCAAAGCACUUUUUCACCACUCUUCUGCGGUACUUCAAAUUUCAAGAAUUGGAAGGCAGAGGUGAAGCUUAGUGAGACAUCUGAAACACUACAUCCAGUUUUGAUAACCCAUUGUGAGGAGGACACCAAUAAAUUUGGACCAAUUCAGCUUAGGACCUCCAGCUGAACAGGCUGGAGCACUUGACCCUUUGCUCCAAAUCCCACUGAAAUCAGGUGGAGAGAAAUAGGGAUCAAAUAGUACAAAG
Long non-coding RNA from Neopelma chrysocephalum (saffron-crested tyrant-manakin), 273 nucleotides. RefSeq lists it as uncharacterized. The transcript has 3 exons. The record is from RefSeq and is a predicted model, not a curated record. NCBI's taxonomy places the organism in Eukaryota, Metazoa, Chordata, Aves, Passeriformes, Pipridae.